RNAcentral lists this transfer RNA (69 nucleotides) under Desmognathus marmoratus. RNAcentral describes it as "tRNA-Tyr". It matches the Rfam family "tRNA". Rfam says of the family: Transfer RNA (tRNA) molecules are approximately 80 nucleotides in length. Their secondary structure includes four short double-helical elements and three loops (D, anti-codon, and T loops). Further hydrogen bonds mediate the characteristic L-shaped molecular structure. tRNAs have two regions of fundamental functional importance: the anti-codon, which is responsible for specific mRNA codon recognition, and the 3' end, to which the tRNAs corresponding amino acid is attached (by aminoacyl-tRNA synthetases). tRNAs cope with the degeneracy of the genetic code in two manners: having more than one tRNA (with a specific anti-codon) for a particular amino acid; and 'wobble' base-pairing, i.e. permitting non-standard base-pairing at the 3rd anti-codon position. The record is from RNAcentral. Lineage: Eukaryota; Metazoa; Chordata; Amphibia; Caudata; Plethodontidae.
AGGUAAAGUGGCCGAACAGGUGUUGAACUGUAGUUUCAAUCAUAAAGGUUAAAUCCCUUUCUAUACCAA